AGUAAAUUUGUCAUUGAAAGGACCACUGGCUGGGCCAGCUAGAUGUCUCCAUGGGUAAAGGCACUUGUGACCAAGCCUGAUAACUUCAGUUUGGCCCCCAGGACCCACAUGGUGGAAGGAGGCAACAGACAUCUGCAAGUUGACUUCUGGGCUCUCUAUGUGCAUGUGUGCACACAGACACAGAGUAAAUAUGUAAAAUGUGAUGCUGGGGACUGCCAGAAACUGGGAGGCGGAGCUUCCCGGGUUGGAGGAUGUGGUGUGCCUUUGAAGGCUUCCCUGGUCGAAGGAUGAGUGUGUCUUUGAAGCAUGUCUCCAUCUUAUGUCAGGCCCAGAGCCAUGCAGCCAGUCAACCAUGAACUGAAACCUUGGAAACCGUGAGCUCAGACAUUCGAAAAUAGAUUUCUCAACCAGAAGACAGCAGCGCGGGCCCUGCUGGGAGACUCCAGCUCUUCCGUUGAGUGAGACAGAGAGAAGCCAGCAACAUGCACCAUGCUCCCCAAAGCUCUCAGGAUUUCUGCACAGAGCCAAGUCCCACCCAUCCCAUACUGGCACCCCAUGAUCGUGUGAGGUGACAAGCCGAGACUCCACUUAGAAGAACAAAGCCAGAUCAGAUGGUGUAGACUAACACCUAGGAUCCAGAACGACAAUGGAUCAGCGUAUCUAGUAAGUACUUCAUAAGUGUUUAACUGAGUAUGCAGGAGUCAAAGCAAUGACACCCAAAAAAAAGUAGUA
This is a non-coding RNA of Peromyscus maniculatus bairdii (prairie deer mouse), 732 nucleotides long. NCBI's taxonomy places the organism in Eukaryota, Metazoa, Chordata, Mammalia, Rodentia, Cricetidae. The record is from RefSeq and is a predicted model, not a curated record.